AAAUGCUGCUGUUUAAUUAAAAGAAGCAAAGUAGUAUAGAAACCAACUCAGUCACUGGUGCCCCUCAUCCUGAGUUACAAAACUCUGAAGAUUUAUUUACUCAUUUGAGAUCUUACAAUUCUUUAGUUGUUACUGAGAAUAAUAAAACUGAACAAAGUAAUGAAUUUGAAAUGCCUCUCAGAGAGAGGCACUCCUCAAAGUCGAAUGAGAAAUGUGUAACUUCCAGUGCAAUAAAUAGAUUUAAAUCAAAUACAGAUGCAAAAUGUGUGCGGCCAGCUGCUCCUUGCUUGCCUGACAAGCAUAAGAGAGAGGACAGGAUCAUGAAUCCAGAAACAAUGUUGCUGAUUCCUCCCCACCGUCACACAUGACUCAUGAAAUACAAUCCCCAACAGACUCGUUGCUUCUCUCCUCCUGGGGCUUGCCUGAGCAGAUCACUGCCGCCACAUCGCCAAGAUGUUUCCCUGGCAUUCUGAGUUCUUUGCUAAGGGCAGGGAAUUGGAUGGGGGAAACCUGGCCAACUCGGCCCCCCCCCAGCACUGGCAAGACCCUGGUGGCCGAGCUGUUGAUCUUGAAGAGGGUAUUGGAGGCAAAGAAGAAAGCCCUCCCGAUUCUGCCGUUUGUCUCUGUGGUGAGGGAGAAGAUGUUCAACUUUCAGAUGAAUGCAUCAUGCUCUAGAAUGUACAGUAAAAAGUACCUGUAGUACUUUCUGGCAUCCACAUGAAGAAGCUGGCUUCAAGUCUUUCUCUGCUUCAUACACUGACAGAAAUCUUCUUUUGCGAUUCCAACUCAAGGCAUGUCUCAAGAUGCAGGAGUCCGUGUUGGUGGGUAUAUGGGUAGUGAGUCACCUACUGGUGGGUUCAAGGCAAUUGACCUUGCUGUGUGUACCAUUGAGAAAGCUAACAGUCUUGUAAAUGGACUACUGGAGGAGAACUAAGCCCAUCAACUGGUCACCAUCUAAUGUUACCAUAACAACUGCUUUGAAUGGUCGCCUGCAUCACUCUUUUCAAUAAGAAUCCAUCACCAACAUUCCAUCCAUUAAUUUGGACGUCAUUGUGGUUGAUGAGCUGCACAUGAUGAGAGACGUCCAGGGAGGAUCUUCUGCAGUUUCGGCUCACAAAGGUCUGCUACAUCACCAAGAAGGGAAGCGAUGCUUCAAAAACACUGCAGUGCAAUGUGUCCGGUACCCACCAACUCCAUCCGGAUUGUGGGUAUGAGUGCUACCGUCCCCAACUUAGACCACCUGGCCCAGUGGCUAGAAGCUGACCUGUACUGCACUGACUUCUGUCCCGUACCCCUGACCCACUGCAUGAAGGAAGGCCUGGUAAUCUACAACUCUACCCUGGCCAAGUUGUUGGAGAUGGACCAGCCCCUGGCCCCACCCUUCGGGGGAAUGUACUCAUCUUCUGCCAGACGAAGAACUGGUGUAAGAAGCUGGUUGAGAACAUGCCCCGAAAGAUUUUGUGAUUGAGUAAGAUGGUCCCUGGUCAAAGCAAGGGUAUAACAAUGCCUUUUGUGAUGCACUGUAAGUCAAGGACUGCUAAAUUUGAUACCUUUACAUAGGUGUUGCCAUCCUACCUGUACUUUUGCACAUAAUAUAUGUACAUGUCUCUAAACACAGUAAGUGUGCUAUCAAGUAGGUUGCCAAAAUUAUUUAAGGCGUGAUGUAGUGCACUUAAUAGAUGAGCUGCAGUUGCCAUCGUUGUUAUGCUUUCUUGAGGCCACACUUGCAUUCUCUGUAAUUGUGGGGACAUGCACUUGUAUUUUCACCCAAGACAAAAUGCUGUGGAGACAUUUAUUUGUCUCCCAAACUUGAUUUCAGCAAAGUGGGAACGCCAUUUUAAGGUGGAAGAUUAAGUGGUAAUAGUGCUUUAAAAUAUAAAAAUUCGACAUUUUCUUCUGGUCUUGUUAGACCUCAAACUUCCACAAAUGCUGUUGAGCAAUAAUUUAAGUCAGUGAGUAAAGGUCUACUUGUGGUGUUUUCAUGGAAACAGUUAUACCUGUAUAUUUUAUGCCUAAAUGUAUCUCUCUGGACCAAGAAACUGGAACGAUCUUGCCCCUUAACUUAUUGCUCUUUGAAUAAUACUUUCAAAAUACAAAUUAAACACAUUCCUGUAUCAAUGUAAAGGUACCUAAUUCAUCAUCUUUGUAGGUGGUUUAGCCAUCACUGAGACAUUAUUGAUUGUUGUGUCUACCCAUAUAUUUAACGUUUGGUAUUAUUUCUAAAACUUUAUAAUGGGUAUUGUUUUUCUUGCUCACUUUAACUGCUGUUUUGUGUUGCUGUUUCUAAAUUCUUUAACCUAACCCCUUAGGGUGUGUGUCAAAUAAUAAUGAAAUUAGAGGAGUGAGGACUGUUGGAGUUGUGCUGUAAGUCUUGUUUCGCCUGUAUUGUUGGGCAAGAGUACAACAAGCUUCGGUUUUCAGGGUGAUUCCUCCAAAAUGUUGAAGCCAAUGUUACAAACAUGUAAUUGGAUUUAAUGUUGAGUUUCCAAAAAUUAUUUACUCUUUCUCAGGGGUCAGGAACCCUGUAUGCUCCCUUCUUGGAACCGCUCCAGCGGUAAAUUUAAAAUACUUUACAAUACAUGUAUGUCUUUGCGCUGCACAGUACGUGCACAUCGUAAUUUGUGGUACUUUUCCGUGAAUAAUUAAUUGCCCUGUAAUUAUUUUUCAAGGAUGCAAAACUGUGAAGGAAAUGAAAGCUGAAAACAUGUAAUGAA
RNAcentral lists this long non-coding RNA (2714 nucleotides) under Acanthaster planci (crown-of-thorns starfish). RNAcentral describes it as "uncharacterized LOC110990512, transcript variant X4". Lineage: Eukaryota; Metazoa; Echinodermata; Asteroidea; Valvatida; Acanthasteridae. The record is from RNAcentral.